RNAcentral lists this ribosomal RNA (356 nucleotides) under uncultured bacterium. RNAcentral's name for it is "partial 16S ribosomal RNA". It matches the Rfam family "Bacterial small subunit ribosomal RNA", at positions 338 to 686 of the family's 1533-position model. The record is from RNAcentral.
CCUACGGGUGGCAGCAGUGGGGAAUAUUGCGCAAUGGGCGAAAGCCUGACGCAGCGACGCCGCGUGAGGGAUGAAGGUCUUCGGAUCGUAAACCUCUGUCAGCAGGGAAGAACAGUCACUUUGCUAAUCAGCAGUGAAUUGACGGUACCUUCACAGGAAGCACCGGCUAACUCCGUGCCAGCAGCCGCGGUAAUACGGCGGGUGCGAGCGUUAAUCGGAAUUACUGGGAGUAACGGGCUCGUAGGCGGUAUGUCAAGUCAAGGGUGAAAUCCCCGCGCUCAACGUGGGAACUGCCUUUGAAACUGGCAAACUGGAGUGUGGGAGAGGAUAGUGGAAUUCCAGGUGUAGGAGUGAAA